GGGGGGGGGGGGCUAAUACAUGCAAGUCGAACGCUUCUUUUCCCACCGGAGCUUGCUCCACCGGGAAAAGAGGAGUGGCGAACGGGUGAGUAACACGUGGGUAACCUGCCCAUCAGAAGGGGAUAACACUUGGAAACAGGUGCUAAUACCGUAUAACAAUCGAAACCGCAGGGUUUCGUUUUGAAAGGCGCUUUACGGUGCCGCUGAUGGAUGGACCCGCGGUGCAUUAGCUAGUUGGUGAGGUAACGGCUCACCAAGGCCACGAUGCAUAGCCGACCUGAGAGGGUGAUCGGCCACAUUGGGACUGAGACACGGCCCAAACUCCUACGGGAGGCAGCAGUAGGGAAUCUUCGGCAAUGGACGAAAGUCUGACCGAGCAACGCCGCGUGAGUGAAGAAGGUUUUCGGAUCGUAAAACUCUGUUGUUAGAGAAGAACAAGGGUGAGAGUAACUGUUCACCCCUUGACGGUAUCUAACCAGAAAGCCACGGCUAACUACGUGCCAGCAGCCGCGGUAAUACGUAGGUGGCAAGCGUUGUCCGGAUUUAUUGGGCGUAAAGCGAGCGCAGGCGGUUUCUUAAGUCUGAUGUGAAAGCCCCCGGCUCAACCGGGGAGGGUCAUUGGAAACUGGGAGACUUGAGUGCAGAAGAGGAGAGUGGAAUUCCAUGUGUAGCGGUGAAAUGCGUAGAUAUAUGGAGGAACACCAGUGGCGAAGGCGGCUCUCUGGUCUGUAACUGACGCUGAGGCUCGAAAGCGUGGGGAGCAAACAGGAUUAGAUACCCUGGUAGUCCACGCCGCAAACGAUGAGUGCUAAGUGUUGGAGGGUUUCCGCCCUUCAGUGCUGCAGCUAACGCAUUAGGCACUCCGCCUGGGGAGUACGACCGCAGGGUUGAAACUCAAAGGAAUUGACGGGGGCCCGCACAACCGAUGAAGCAUGUGGUUUAGUUCUAAGCAACGCGAAAAACCUUACCAGGUCUUGACGUCCUUUGACCACUCUAGAGAUAGAGCUUCCCCUUCCGGGGCCAAAGUGACAGGUGGUGCAUGGUUGUCGCCAGCUCCGGUCCGAAAAUGUUGGUUUAAUUCCCGCAACGAACGCCAACCCUUAAUGUUAAUUGCCAUCGUUUAGUUGGGGCCUUUUAGCAAGAAUGCCUGGUGAAAAAACCGGAAAAAAAGUGGGGGAUGGACGCCAAUUCGUAAGGGCCCUUUAGGACCUGGGCCCACCAACUG
RNAcentral lists this ribosomal RNA (1225 nucleotides) under Enterococcus mundtii. Its description in RNAcentral is "bacterial SSU rRNA". It matches the Rfam family "Bacterial small subunit ribosomal RNA", at positions 38 to 1224 of the family's 1533-position model. Lineage: Bacteria; Bacillati; Bacillota; Bacilli; Lactobacillales; Enterococcaceae. The record is from RNAcentral.